Molecule: long non-coding RNA, 4477 nt
Filed under: Cairina moschata (Muscovy duck)
Lineage: Eukaryota; Metazoa; Chordata; Aves; Anseriformes; Anatidae
Description: domestica (muscovy Duck (domestic type)) lncRNA (ENSCMMG00000004752.1)
Source: RNAcentral
GGCAGAGACAAAAUUGUUCCAAAUAAUUUUGUAAGAAUGCACUGUAUUCUGUCCUUAAAAAACACGGGGACCACAUCUCACCCCAGAGACUACAGCCCUUCCCUCACCCCAUCUUUCAGCAGUUCCUGCGGUGGGCCAGACCUGGAGGGCCCAGUCUGAUCUCCGGCAUUCCCCAGCGGCAGCCUGUGUAUGUGUACUGAAACCAAAUCCCUUGUAUUUCAAGACAUAAUGUUUCAAGAAACUAAUAACUAUUGACCUGACUUUUUCAACUCUGAUGUGUACAUUAUCGCUGAUGAAGAGAGAGAGUCACUUUUCCGCUACAGUGGAAAUAUGGGGAAAAUUCUGUUUCCUGCUGAGAAAAAUCAGUAUAUGCAGGAACUGCAACCUGGAAACAGCUUAGCACUAUGAGAGCUUGGCCUUUUUUGCCUUCAGCUUUCUGUUGUGAUGGGCUUGUCUCACCCUGCUCAUCACAUUUCGGAGCUGGAGCUGCCACUGGUGGGGAUGGUGCUGGCCCCUGUGGCACCAACCAGCCCUCAUGUGCUGCUGCAAGAUUAAAUAUCUCAAGUGAUGAUGGCGAAAGCAGGAGCCGUGAGAAACUUUUUUCCCAGUCAUGGGACUUCCUUAGCAACAUUUAUUAUUCAGCCUGCAAAGAGGAGGAGAAAAGUGGUAUUGGAGGCUCCUGGUUCCCCGCCUUGGCCACAGCCCAUGCUGCAGGCUGCACGAGGAGGCCCAGCCAGGCCCGCUGCUCUGGCCUCGCUCCUUGCCCGUGGGUAGUGGCGGAUUGUCGCCACAGACCCGUGCAGGUGGUUGUGAUCUCCGGGCCAAGAGAACUUUCAAAAAGAUUAUGGAAUUUGGGCACCAACAUCAUUUCCAACUAUGAAGGUCUUGCACAGGACGUGGUGAUCAGUCAUCCGUCUCGCGCUGAAAUCUCCUGUUACACCGAUCUUCUGGCAACUCCAUUUUCUCUUCAUUUUUUCACAAGACAUCCGAGAUGAGCCCAGUACCUACUGCGCUGACACACUGCAACCACAGCACUUCAGCCUGGGCUGACAGACAAUUUUGUCUGAAGUGGCUCAAAAGCAGAUGUAUUCAAGCGUGUCUUUUUCUAAGAUGCUUUGAUUAUGACAUCUAUGAAUUUGUUUUCUCGCUGUUAUUAUGCACUAUAAAAUCCCACUAUAUCUUUACUUCCUGUUUUAAAAUGAUUAGAAGUCUAAUGCAUUUUGAUAACAUAAAAUGUGGCAGCUGGGAUGAAAUGAAACUUUGCUUUGAUUCAAGCAUUUCUCUCUAUUAAUCUUCAUACUGUGUUUUAGGGAUGUCUGUUUGGUUUUAGUUAUAUUUACCUAAGUUGUGCAUAAUAUGUGCUGUGUUUGACUCUCCAUUCACAUCCACAUGUGUAAAUUCAGAAUAACUGCUGCAAAGCCAAGGAAAUUAUACCUUAGAUCCAGUUGUAAGAAGAGUAACUGCAGCUUUGAGCUUGGGUCUUUAAUCACAUUUGCAUCCAGUGGAUUUGGCUUUUUAUAUCAACUAGUGCAUUUCACUGGCAGAUAUUUAUAAUGUAACACAGUGAUGUAAGCAGGUGCACAGAACAGAUUACAAAUAGUAGUCGCAGAAUUAAAAAUAAAUCCUCCUGUAGCAAGAAUAUUUCUUUACUUCACAUUCAAUCUCCCACAUGAUUUUGCUCAGAUUUCUGCUGACAAAACUCUGAGUUUAUAUGUAAAUAUUAGAACAUGUUCAAGAUUAUUUUCCAAGUCUAAAAAAAAUACCAUUGCUAUAAUGUAACAGGGUUGGGGAUGCUUAUCAUAUCUGGAGUAUUGCGUUUGAAGAAAUGUGAGUUUCAGAUCCUCAGUGCUGUGUUUUCCUCUGGCAUAUGAAUGAUCUUUUGUUUUUACAUUUUGGUAUGUACAAGUGGCCUCACUCCUGAUGCAAGUGUCCACAGUUAGCAUUUGGACCCACUGCUUGUUUGCUGUUUGAUAAAUGGGUCCUCUGUCAAAAAGCCUUGCCCAAAUUAGUGGAAUGCUUAGACUCCACAUCUUUAUACAAGGUUGAGGAAUGGGGAAUAAGAAUAAUUACUGGGACUGCUUGAAAGAGGAAAUAGUAAUGUGGAAAUCUAUGUCCUGAGGGCCUACAGUGCUCUGAGUCUAUUGAAAAUAAAUAAGUUUAAAUAAAACCAACACAACUCACAGGAACUGCACAGAGUAGAUACAAAUACAGCAUAUCCAGCAGAUGGCAUCUGGUGACAGUGGCAGAGUCAACAAGCCAUGACGUUUAGUUUAUCUGUUGUUGAACACAGAUACAAACAGUGUUGAACUUUACUCAGAGAUCAUCCAUUCAACUCCAAACCAUUAAUGACUUUUCCUAGUGGGAGACAGAGUGUGUCAGUGUGCACCAAUACAGAAAACUUAGAAAUAUUGCUCUGAAAGAGACAUUGUGUCUGAUGGGCAAAGGUUGUUUUCCAGAAAACAGUAUUUUACUGCCUGGAGUUGAAGGUAGCACUUUGAUCAUGUACAUGUGCAGUAUGCUCUGUCAGAUCUCCUCCAGAGUUGUUUUUUCUUCAGGAGCUGUUUCUACAUUGUGAGGGAGAUCACUUGCCAUCUCCCAUACUCUUUGUCACAAACAUGAUAUCCCCAAGUUGUGCCUCAAGACAUGGAGUCCUCUCACACCGGUUAACUGAAGCUGGAAGGUCACUUUACCUCUCUUUACCUGAAACAGAAUUAACACCCUUGAAAAUGCUAAAAAUUUCUUUUUGGCAUCCUCAGAGUGAAAGAGAGAGGAGAUCUGGGGGGGGGGGGGGGAGGAAGUAUAUACUGGAAUAUUUUUUACCUUGUCCUUGCCAGAAGAGCUAAAACAUAAUCUAUCUGGGCACUAUUAGUAGCUGGGGUGAACUGAAUUUAUGGCUGUAAGUCACUUGCUUAUUUUGGAAGGAUAUCUAAACUCAUAUAUAUUGGAAUGGAGUUCAGGAUGCUAGUGGUGGCAUUUAAAUGGCACAAUGAAUCACAAGUUGAGGAUAUUAUUCAAUACCUUAUAUUGUAUUAUCAGAUUUGUGACUCAUGGUUGAUGACACCAGGUCUGGCAGUGUUCUGAAUGAUGCCUUCAGAAAGAACAAUUUGGGUCAUUUUCCUUAGGGUUAUGCGGUCAAGGUGUUAUGCACUCAGCUCACAGGGCUGUGUUAUUACAGGACAGCCAGCGUAUUGCAAUGGAUGUGCUGUGUUUCACAAGCACUUGCAAAGAGACCUUCUUCCUAGCUUUCACCAGCUGUCCUGAACUGUAGCAAGAAUUUCAAAGUGAGAUUCCUUGAAAGUAUUGGAUGCAUUAUAUUAUAUACUUAUUGCUUAAAAAAGCAGUUUUAAUCCACGUCUCUCUUUUACUUCUUUGUGUAAAUAGGGGACAGGGAGGAAGCAGAAAGGAAUCCAGUGGGUUGCAUUGGUCUCACACCCUUCUGCAGCAGCCUCUCAGCACUGGGGAUUCAGGUUUCUCAAAAUAAAUACAUUUUUAACAGGAAGUUGAGAUAAAAAGAAGACAAAAUGUCACUUCUAAUCAAGGAAAUUAAAGAAUUGUCCAUUUUAGGUACUCAGAAUACACCUUGGAGGAACCACAGUCCAACAAGAAGAAAGUAACCGAGCUAACUGUGUCUAAUAUAGCCUAAUUAAAGAAGUCUUUGAGUUACCUUCACUUGAAGGUAAUUGGCUCUUGCCAAUUCAUGCUAUACCCACUGGUAUCAAAAGCAGUGCUGAGAUCCAAACAAAAGCAAAUGUCUACUUCCUAGUACUGGCUGUAUAUUUAGUCAGCUUUACAACACUGGCCACAUUAGAAUAACAUGUUUCUCUAAGGACAACUCCACACAGAAACCAUAAACAGUGCUGGAAGAUGGGUAUUGUAGAAAAAUAUCUGUGAAGGGUAUGAGCAGAAAGAAAUCAUUUACAGCUUCUUUCUUGGUAAAUUUGUCUGCGGAUGUGGAUAGACAUGGAGCCAGACAAGUGGCUCUGCUGCAAGAAAGCUGCUGACAGUCUGAGAAUUGAUCUUAAGGUCCCCAUUUGGGUAACAUGAAACAGAAGACAAUGCACUUCUAAACCACUUUAUAUGAUUCAUAUCAUGAAUAACACCACCCACAUCUAAUCUGUGUUUGCCUCAACUGCCAAAACAUUGCAAUCUAUGAAGAAAGCAGCCUACUGAAUUUAAAGUGGGUGCCUUGCUUUGAAAGAGCACCUUCUUAGGACAAACACUCCAGGCUAGGGAAAACCUAGGAUGACUCAAAGUCUGGAGUGGCUGGUUGUGGUGGAAGUGAAAUCAUUGCCUCAUGGCUGACUCCUCCUUAAAGGGUCAAAUAAUUAAAAAGUACAUCUCCAAGUGCACAAAACUAGAAUCUGUAGCAGCAGAAACACACAAGUUCACAGAAUCACAGAAUCACAGAAUUUCUAGGUUGGAAGAGACCUCAAGAUCAUCGAGUCCAACCUCUAACCUAACACAAACAGUCCCCACU